GUCCACGCCGUAAACGAUGGGCACUAGGUGUCGCGGGUAUUGACCCCUGCGGUGCCGUAGCUAACGCAUUAAGUGCCCCGCCUGGGGAGUACGGCCGCAAGGCUAAAACUCAAAGGAAUUGACGGGGGCCCGCACAAGCGGUGGAGCAUGUGGUUUAAUUCGACGCAACGCGAAGAACCUUACCUGGGUUUGACAUCCCGAUCGUACUCUAUGGAAACAUAGGGGUCAGUUCGGCUGGAUCGGUGACAGGUGCUGCAUGGCUGUCGU
RNAcentral lists this ribosomal RNA (267 nucleotides) under uncultured bacterium. RNAcentral describes it as "partial 16S ribosomal RNA". It matches the Rfam family "Bacterial small subunit ribosomal RNA", at positions 793 to 1055 of the family's 1533-position model. The record is from RNAcentral.